GUUGUUUUCUUUCUCGAAAGAGUUCGAAAACUUUUAUAGCAUACAUGUUUUAAGCAGUAUAUAUAUAUAGUGUGUGAUUUAAAACACUAUGUCACAUGUAUCUUUAUGGACAUAGAGAUGUUGAAUUUGUAGAUUUGUCUAGUCAUUAUACAAUAUGACACUAUAGUGCAUAAAUGCAAUACCUGGAAGGCUAUUUGUACUGUAAGCUUGGUGUAAUUGUUAAAGCUUGGUCUGUUUUGUGUUAGGGCUAUAAAAUUUCAUCCUUUAUCUUUUCUUUUUUUAUCCACAAACUCAAGUAUUUCAAGUUCUAAGUGGAAGCAUAAACAUAUAUACGUACCUAGUAAUUGAUAUUUUCAAUGCAAUAAUAGCAUUAGGUUUGUCUUGCAGUGAAAGAGUCUAUUAAAGAAUUGAGGGAGAAGGCUGCAUUGAAAAUGUCAAAAAUUGCAAAAUCACAACUGGGGCUGACCCAGUUUCCCUACAAGAGGGCAGAGAAGGGGGAAGUUCCCCCUUGCCUUGCCUCCAACCUCUCCAGCCACCAGCAAAACUGGCGACCAAACAGCUACAAGAGCUGCUUAUGAGUGAUUUGUCAGUCGCCAGGUUCAGUGGAUCUGCCCAAGGCUAAAAGAAUCAGAGUCACUUGGGAUGCCAAUUCGAUGAAGGCAUUGGAAGACAGUCUUGGACCUCUUGAGGCCCUCACAAGCAUCCCAAGUAGCGAAGAUUUAAAAGCCAUUCGCCAGAGCAAACCUGCUUUAGAAAAAUUUGAUGUCAUUCAAAUAUACAAAAAAAUUGCAUAAAAUAAAAUCAAAGAAAAAAUGAAUAUCUAGUUUUGUCAUGAUUACCUUUGUUUGUUCGUUUAUCUUGUAGGGGACAAUGUGUAAAUGAGCAGUUAAAAAAAAACAACUAUGUUUGUGUUAUAUUAUAAGUUAUCAGUGUCCUACACUUUUGUGUGUGGAAUAAAUGCAUGCAUAGAAUGUGAUGCUCGUAUCUGUGACAAAAUCAAUCGUUAGUCAAAAGGAAACAAAGUAUAUAACAUCAAAGGCGAAAAAGGGAGAGGGAUGCGAAAGUGUAUUACUGGCACUAAAAAUUCUUGGUUUAAAAAAAUUCUU
Molecule: long non-coding RNA, 1106 nt
Filed under: Pomacea canaliculata
Lineage: Eukaryota; Metazoa; Mollusca; Gastropoda; Architaenioglossa; Ampullariidae
Description: uncharacterized LOC112553472, transcript variant X1
Source: RNAcentral